ACUGGAGUGGUGGAAUGGCAGACACGCUGUCUUGAGGUGGCAGUGAAAUUAUUUUUCAUAGGAGUUCAAGUCUCCUCUUCAGUA
This 84-nucleotide transfer RNA is filed under the name Reclinomonas americana. Its description in RNAcentral is "tRNA-Leu". It matches the Rfam family "tRNA". Rfam says of the family: Transfer RNA (tRNA) molecules are approximately 80 nucleotides in length. Their secondary structure includes four short double-helical elements and three loops (D, anti-codon, and T loops). The record is from RNAcentral. Lineage: Eukaryota; Jakobea; Jakobida; Histionidae.